CAGGAGACAAGCAAGAAGGGAUGGGUAUGACAUGGAAGAAAAGAAGCUGUAAUACCUGGCCUGGAGAUCCUUCCCGCACUGCCGCCUUUACUGCUGCCGAUGCUGUCACCUCGGCUUUACCCCUUUCCUUUGGAAUGCCAAAAGUAGAAUGGGAAACAAGAAAGAAGUAUAAGUUAGGUACUCUCCAGGAACAGAACCAGACCUGAAGUGAGAGACAACAGCUACAUCUCAAUGGACAAAGGUAAAGGUAGAAAACCCUCUUUGGGCUAUGGUUGAAUAAUUUGGAAGAUGGACUUUUCUGACUCAGAAUGGAAGUCUACAUAAUAGGAGGCACAGUGGGUCAUGCCUAUGAUCCCAGCACUUUAGGAGGCUGUGGCGGAAGGAUCACUUGAGCACAGGAGUUUGAGACCAGUCUGGGCAACAUAGUGAGACCCCAUCUCUACAAAAAAUAAAAAAGUUAGCCAGGCGUGGUAAUGCGUGCCUGUAAUCCCAGCUACUCGGGAGGCUGAGGCAAGAGGAUCGUUUGAGCCCAGGAAGUUGAAG
This 543-nucleotide long non-coding RNA is filed under the name Homo sapiens (human). RNAcentral's name for it is "HSALNT0189972". Lineage: Eukaryota; Metazoa; Chordata; Mammalia; Primates; Hominidae. The record is from RNAcentral.